RNAcentral lists this ribosomal RNA (272 nucleotides) under uncultured bacterium. RNAcentral's name for it is "partial 16S ribosomal RNA". It matches the Rfam family "Bacterial small subunit ribosomal RNA", at positions 525 to 796 of the family's 1533-position model. The record is from RNAcentral.
AAGAAGGGGGCAAGCGGUAAUCGGAAUUACUGGGCGUAAAGCGCGCGUAGGUGGUUCGUUAAGUUGGAUGUGAAAGCCCCGGGCUCAACCUGGGAACUGCAUCCAAAACUGGCGAGCUAGAGUACGGUAGAGGGUGGUGGAAUUUCCUGUGUAGCGGUGAAAUGCGUAGAUAUAGGAAGGAACACCAGUGGCGAAGGCGACCACCUGGACUGAUACUGACACUGAGGUGCGAAAGCGUGGGGAGCAAACAGGAUUAGAUACCCGUGUGGUCC